RNAcentral lists this unclassified non-coding RNA (337 nucleotides) under soil metagenome. RNAcentral's name for it is "partial contains 5.8S ribosomal RNA, internal transcribed spacer 2, and large subunit ribosomal RNA". The stretch from base 1 to 120 matches the Rfam family "5.8S ribosomal RNA", at positions 35 to 154 of the family's 154-position model. The record is from RNAcentral.
GAUGAAGAACGUAGCGAAAUGCGAUAAGUAAUGUGAAUUGCAGAAUUCAGUGAAUCAUCGAAUCUUUGAACGCACAUUGCGCCCGCCAGUAUUCUGGCGGGCAUGCCUGUUCGAGCGUCAUUUCAACCAUCAAGCCCCAGGCUUGUGUUGGGGACCUGCGGCUGCCGCAGGCCCUGAAAACCAGUGGCGGGCUCGCUGUCACACCGGGCGUAGUAGAUUUUAUCUCGCUCUGGGCGUGCUGCGGGUUCCGGCCGUUAAAAAACCCUUUUAACCCAAGGUUGACCUCGGAUCAGGUAGGAAUACCCGCUGAACUUAAGCAUAUCAAUAAGCGGGAGGA